ACCAGCGUAGGGCCUCAGGGACCAGAAUCAAGGCACCUCCACCAUGGCCUGGACCCCUCUCCUCCUCGGAUUCCUGGCUCACUGCACAGGCUCCAUGGCCUCCUAUGUGCUGACUCAGCUCCCCUCCAUGUCUGUAAACCUGGGACAGACGGUAAGGACCACCUGUGGAGGAAACAACAUUGGAAGUAAACGUGUUCAGUGGUACCAGCAGAAGCCAGGCCGGGGCCCUGUGCUGGUUAUCUAUGGUAAUAGCAACCGGGCCUCAGGGAUCCCGAACUGGUUCUCAGGCACCAACUCCGGGAUCAUGGCCACCCUGACCAUCAGUGGGGCCCAGGCUGAGGACGAGGCAGACUAUUACUGUCUCUCAUUUUGCCCUUUUCUAUCAGAUUCUCUAUCUUCCCCAAACCACUGA
Molecule: non-coding RNA, 412 nt
Organism: Lutra lutra (Eurasian river otter)
Lineage: Eukaryota; Metazoa; Chordata; Mammalia; Carnivora; Mustelidae
Source: the annotation of a RefSeq genome assembly